Molecule: non-coding RNA, 279 nt
Organism: Vicia faba (fava bean)
Lineage: Eukaryota; Viridiplantae; Streptophyta; Magnoliopsida; Fabales; Fabaceae
Source: the annotation of a GenBank genome assembly
AUGUCUGGAAACUUUUGCUUGAAUGAAUCUUGGCGCUGUAACCACAUCAUGUGUCCCUGCAAAUCGAAUACCUCGAUCGAUCAGGAACAGAGGGAGAGAGAAGAGAAUAGGUUAGGUUUUUACCUGGAGAGCAGCAGCCCAAGUGAUAAGGAAAGAUGCAAACCAGAAUUUCUUGUCCUUUAUCACUUUUUUCAAUUCCAUUUUUCUCACUUCACUCCGACAACAAGCUCGAACAAUUCAUCGCCGUUCCUGGCUGCAUCAACACCACCUUGCUUCUAA